AACGAACGCUGGCGGCAUGCCUAACACAUGCAAGUCGAACGAGACCUUCGGGUCUAGUGGCGCACGGGGGCGUAACGCGUGGGAACCUGCCCGUAGGUUCGGAAUAACUCCCCGAAAGGGGUGCUAAGACCGGAUAAUGUCUUCGGACCAAAGAUUUAUCGCCUUUGGAUGGGCCCGCGUUGGAUUAGCUAGUUGGUAGGGUAAAAGCCUACCAAGGCGACGAUCCAUAGCUGGUCUGAGAGGAUGAUCAGCCACACUGGGACUGAGACACGGCCCAGACUCCUACGGGAGGCAGCAGUGGGGAAUAUUGGACAAUGGGCGAAAGCCUGAUCCAGCAAUGCCGCGUGAGUGAUGAAGGCCUUAGGGUUGUAAAGCUCUUUUACCCGGGAUGAUAAUGACAGUACCGGGAGAAUAAGCUCCGGCUAACUCCGUG
RNAcentral lists this ribosomal RNA (433 nucleotides) under uncultured bacterium. RNAcentral's name for it is "partial 16S ribosomal RNA". It matches the Rfam family "Bacterial small subunit ribosomal RNA", at positions 29 to 507 of the family's 1533-position model. The record is from RNAcentral.